Molecule: ribosomal RNA, 261 nt
Filed under: uncultured bacterium
Lineage: Bacteria
Description: partial 16S ribosomal RNA
Rfam family: Bacterial small subunit ribosomal RNA
Source: RNAcentral
AGUGGCGGACGGGUGAGUAACGCGUGGGUAACCUGCCUCAUACAGGGGGAUAACAGUUAGAAAUGACUGCUAAUACCGCAUAAGCGCACGGUUUUCGCAUGGAACAGUGUGAAAAACUCCGGUGGUAUGAGAUGGACCCGCGUCUGAUUAGUUGGUUGGCGGGGUAACGGCCCACCAAGGCGACGAUCAGUAGCCGGCCUGAGAGGGUGAACGGCCACAUUGGGACUGAGACACGGCCCAAACUCCUACGGGAGGCAGCAG